AUGAGAGUACCGCAGAUGACAAGGGUCAUCCAUGACUCGGGAGAAGGCAUGCAGAAAGAUGCACUUGACAUGGUAUCCUCUGAUGUUAACUUCCCCAAGGGCCACUUUCCAGACUACAGGAUUGGGCCAAACAACCAAAUCAUUGACCCAGAGGAGACGCACGAGGUUGUGCCUUUGAAGGAGAUUGUUGCGAAAGAAACAACACAACUGCUAGAGCAGCGAAAGCGGCUGUCAGUGCGUGAUCUCAGGGAGAAGUUUGAGAAGGGUCUGUCUGGUGCCUCCAAGUUGUCUGAAGAGGCUAAGCGGCGUGAAGCAGCUUCCCUGGACAGGCAGGUUCUUCUGAAGAAGCUCAGAGAUGUUCUAGACACGCUGAAAGGCCGUGUGGCUGGUCGAAACAGAGAUGAUGCUGAUGAAGCUAUCUCGCUGGUGGAAGCACUAGCAGUUCAACUUACUCAAAGAGAAGGUGAAUUAAUUUAUGAGAAGGCUGAAGUAAAAAAGUUGGCUAGCUUCCUCAAGCAGGCUACUGAAGAUGCCCGAAAGGUAGCUGAAGAGGAAAGAGCUCUUGCACUCGCUGAAAUUGAAAAAUCUAGAGCUGCAAUAGAAAAAGUUGAGAAAGCGUUGCAGGAGCAGGAUUCAGCAUCAAGUAGCAGAGAGAAGGAGGAGAUAGAGGAACUUAGGAAAGAGAUUCGAGAGGCUAGACGAAUAAAAAUGCUACACCAGCCAAGCAAGGUAAUGGACAUGCAGUUUGAGCUUCAGGGACUGCGUACACUUAUAUCAGAAAAAACACAGCUUUGCAAUCAGUUAAAGAAAGAGCUUGCCAUGAUCAAGAGGCUUGAACAAGAUAGCUCUAAACUCUUUGAGCUUGAAGGUUCUGAUACUCUUGGAUCACAGUUCCGUAUUGUCCCUCGAGUUGAUGGUGCUCCAGACAUCUCAAGCUGUCCAGCUCAGUGGUACCGUGUAAUUUCCGGAGGCCACAGAGAGCUCGUAUCGGGUGCAACGAGACUUACUUAUGCUCCAGAGCCAUUUGAUGUUGGCCAAUUGUUGCAAGCAGAGAUAAUUUUGAAAGCAGAUAAAGUUACGGUUCAGACAGAUGGCCCUAUAAAUCAUGCUUCAGGACUGGAACAUUAUGUGGAAUCGCUAAUGAAAAGGGCGGAUAUUGAGUUCAAUGUGGUAGUAACCCAAAUGAAUGGGAAUGACUACGCAUCAAAAUCUGUCCAUGUAUUUCAUAUUGGAAAGCUGAGAGUGAAGCUUCGGAAAGGAAGGUCUACAAAAGCAAGGGAGUCAUAUUCCACCACAAUGAAGUUGUGUGGAAGCCGAGGUGGUGGUAAUGCUGCGGCCUGUGCAGUCUUCUGGCAAACUAGGAAAGGCCUAUCCUACACUCUAGCUUUCGAGACGGACAGGGAUAGGAAUGCCGCGAUUAUGCUUGCUCGGAAAUUUGCUUCCAGUUGCAACGUUGUUCUUGCUGGACCAGGCGAUCAAGUCCACGGUGGUGGCUGA
RNAcentral lists this ribosomal RNA (1497 nucleotides) under Triticum aestivum (bread wheat). RNAcentral's name for it is "partial small subunit ribosomal RNA". Lineage: Eukaryota; Viridiplantae; Streptophyta; Magnoliopsida; Poales; Poaceae. The record is from RNAcentral.